Molecule: long non-coding RNA, 6800 nt
Filed under: Sus scrofa (pig)
Lineage: Eukaryota; Metazoa; Chordata; Mammalia; Artiodactyla; Suidae
Description: lncRNA (ENSSSCG00060029072.1)
Source: RNAcentral
GACUUUGAGGUUGGACAAAUUACUUGCCUUAGCUCAUGGAAUAUGAAUGGAUACAGCUCACACUAUUUCUGUGCAGAAGCUUUUAGAAGCAUUGUUAGUUUCUGCCACCCUGUUUACUCUUUCCCACUGCAUAUUUCCGAUUCAGACUGCUGCUUCAGUUCUGAAAUGAGAAGGUAGGUAAAGUCGUAGCCAACUUAUGUCCAACUUGUAUCAUGAAUGAGAAAUAAAACCUGUGUUUUUGUAAUCCACUGAGAUGUGAUGAUUGUUUGUGAGCAAAACAAAGCUGACUAAUGAGAUGUUUACCUUAAUGAGUCUGCUCUUUAACUCUUUCCUAAAAUAGCAGGAGAGCACAUGCUGCCCAGAUAUUAUCCAUCUUAAAGCAUUUUUUGCUCAUAAGCUAUUGCCUUCAUCCCUCCAAUUGUUUUAACCUGUUUACAGUAGUGAUGCUAGAGCCUUUUGGUCACAGUAAUGUAAGUAAAUAAAUAAACUGAAAUCGAUGAUUAAACACUUUUUUUAAAUCAAGUGCUGUAGAUACAAACAGGCAAGACAAGGCAUCUGUACUCAUGAAAAAGAGGGACAGUGAAGAUAGUAAUAAUGCAGUGUGCAUCAUUAAGCAAGGGGCAUGUUCAGGAUAUUAUGACAACGCAUUCAUUCACUCAGUGUGUCUCUAUCUCUCAUUCUCCACUUACAGUUUUAAGCUCCACAAAUAAAAGGACAGAAUCAUGUGACUCAGACUCCUCUAGCUCCUGACUACCCUCUCCCUUCAACCCCCUUUUCUCUCACAUACCAUAUCUAAUCCUUUAAAAGAAAAUCUUAUUAACACUAUCUUUAACACAUAUCCAGAAUCUGGUCACCUGUCACCACCUCUGCUGCUGGUUCCAGUGAAGAGCAUCUCAUAAACUAUUACAAGAGCCUCCUAAAUGAUCUCCCUGCCUCUGAUCUUACCUGCCCAUUCUCACCCAUCGCUGAGAUGAUUUCCACAGAAUGGUUAGUGGGGGAUUUUCAAACACCAGUUAGAUCGUGCUCCUCCUCUGUUUAGAACCUUCCAUUAGUUUCCCAUUUCAGUCUAAGGAAAGCCAAGUCCUCUCAACUGCUUACCAAGCCCUCAGUGUCUCCUCCCCCUCAAAGCUGCCCUUCUUCGAAAGCUUCUCCCAUGCUCCCCUCCCAGCCCCACCUAAUUCGUCUGUGCUCACCUCUUUGCUGCUCUGGCAUAUACCAACCAGUGUGUCCCAUCGAGGACUUCUCAGUUCUAUGCCUUCUUCCUGGAAUGCUCUUCCCCUCCAUACCUGUGGGACCUGCUCCUUCUCUUCUUUCAGGUCUCUGCUCAGUGUCACCUCUUUACUCUAGUCUCCCCUGGCCAACAGUCUGCACUGUGGAAACCAGACUCUUUUUUUUCUUUUUAGGGUUGCACUCUGUGGCAUAUAGAAGUUCCCAGGCUAGGAGUUGAAUUGAAGCUGCAGCUGCCAUCCUACACCACAGCAAUGUCAGAUCCAAGCCACAUCUUCAACCUAUACUGUAGCUUCUCAUGGCAAUGCUGGAUCCUUAACUCACUAAGUGAAGCCAGGGAUCUAACCUGCAUCCUCAUAGAUGCUAGUCAGAUUCGUUUCCACUGAGCCACAACAGGAACUCCUAGACUUCUAAAUAUAUACAAAAUGAACAAUCACUGGGAGAUUUUUUGCGCUUUUUUUUUUUUUUUUUUUGCUAAAAGGCUGAUAGUGAAGAACAACUGUUGGCUAAAAAACAAAAACAAUAAUAAUAAAAAGUACUAUAAUUGUUGUUCCUGAAGUUGUCUGAUUUAGGCAGAGUUUCCACCCUUCCUAAACAAAAGAUGUGCAUGAAGAAUGGAUGAAAUGAAACAUUUUUCUGGAUGAAUCUCUCCAACUUGGAUAUUUAAAGGCAGAGAAAUUAAUGGGGAAAAGCAUCCCAAGUCUAAAAUGGAAACUGUUUGAAAGGCCAUGAAAACUUGAAUGAUCCUGCUUGGAGUUCCCAAGUACUACAAGGACAGAGGGGCUCCUUUUUUUCAUAUUAAUUAACAAAUCAGACAUAUAUGGUGUUCAUAUAUUGCAGCCAGAGGGGAAACCUGGGCCAAUACCUGUGGUUUUAAGUCUGGUGUCUGAAACCUCAUCCCCUUCUUUAUGUACCAUACUUCUUUUUUUUGGUUUGUCUUUGCCUUUUUGUUUUUUUAGGGCCAUAACCACAGCAUAUAGAGUUUCCCAGGCUAGGGGGUCCAAUGGGAGCUAUAGCUGAUGGCUUACACCACAGCCACAGCAACAUGGGAUCUGAGCAGUGUCUGCGACCUACACCACGGUUCAUGGCACCACCGGAUCCUUAACCCACUGACUGAGGCCAGGGAUCAAACCUGCAUCCUUAUGGAUGCCAGUCAGGUUCGUUAACUGCUGAGCCACAAUGGGAGCCCCACAUACCAUAAUUCUAAACUCCAGGAAUGAGAACUGAGGAUGGGAGCUUAGAACAAAUGGUGUCUAGGAUAGGACUGAAACGAACACCUGACUAUUAAGCCCAUUUUGUUGUCCACCUUUCCCUCACCUCACUUCCUAACUAACUGCCUUUGUUUGAAGCAUUUGUCCUAGUUUUCUUCCUAUAAGAGUUUUAGGGUAUAGAAAUCACUUUCUUUUAAACUGAUAUAAUCUUUUUUUUUUUUUUUUUUUUUUUUAAGGGCCUCAUCUGUGGCACAUGGAAGUUCUGGAGCUGCAGCUGCAGGCCUGCGUCACAGCCAUAGGAACAGUGGAUCCAAGCUGUGUCUGUGACCUACACCAUAACUUGCGGCUGUAUCUGAUCCUUAAGCCACUGAGUAAGGCCAGGGAUCAAAGCAUAUCCUUACAGAGACAACAUCAGGUCCUUAGCACUCUGAGCCACAAUGGGAACUGCUAAACUGAUAUGAUCUUUACUUCACUCUGCCCUAUAUUCCAUUCCGUUGUUUCACCAGUAUCUAAUCUAUAACUCUUUAAGUAGUUUUCUCUCUACACCUUCCACCAUCACACAGUUGAAAUAAUUUUAGAAAAAUAUUUUUACCAUUAUCACUUUUGGAUAAUAUCUAAACACUGUGAUGGGCUCCUUUCUGUGUUUGACUGUAUCUGUCCAAGCUAAAUCUGUCUUCAGCUCUAUACUCUGUCUUCUCAAGUCAAAACAAAGUAUGCUAUAGUAAGCAAAAUUUUGACCUUCAGUCAAGUUACCAUCCUCUCCCUGUUGAUAUCUUUGUAAAAGAAAUCUUGCGUGAAUGUGUAUAUCCACAGAAUUUCUACUCUUUAUUUCUCAGGAAGUCUCUUUACUGGAGGUAGGAAGAACACAUUAAAAUGGAUAAGUAAUUCAUGUUAUUUUUAGGAAACAGAAAACCAAAUAAAUGUUUAAUAGGAAGGUACACUGUUUCACGCCUUGGAACACUGAAUAUUGAGCAUUGAUUGAAAGGCCACUGUUGACAUUGAUUGAAAGGCUACUGUGUUCAGGGAACUAUGAAAAUAAAGGAGUGUACAAAAGAUGUGAUACCUUCAUUUUGAGAGGUUUACAGUGGGAUGCAGGAAAAAAACAUAAAAGUGAACAGCAGCAUAUUUGGUUGAUACCUAUUGGCUAUAUAAAAUUGCUUUUGGAUAUGUUUCAUGAUUCCUCAUAAAACAAAGACUUAAUAAGUUUACUUGGCAGCUGAUGGGCAAAGUUAAAAAAAAAAUCAAAUAAGCUUUUUGUUUUCUUUUAAGCAGUUCCUGGCAAUGCUUUCUUUUUUAUUUUAAGCAGAUGAGUUUUUAAAACAAUGAUUGCAUUUAAGACUUUUAAGAAAGCUUGUAAACCACAGAUUAGAUGAGCUGGGUCCUGAGAUCUGAACUGCGAGCUAGCUUGAUGCACACAAUGCAGGGCUCAAAGGUCUGAAAUUUCCAUGCACACAGACAACACAAUAAGGGUCCACAGCAGCCAUGCACCCUCUGAGUCCUGAGCCACAGACUACUUUGUAGCUCCUUGAGAUUGGCCUGUUAAGCUAAGGGCCUGGGUCCUGUGUACAGGGUGAGCAAUGAAGGGUGACCAGACUUAGAUGGAGGAAAUAUUUAUCAUUAGUUGUGAAGCUUUUUCAUUGAAGCCCCAUUUCCUGAGUGCAUGGGUAUACCAAUUUAAAUAUUCGCUAUUCAUUUCAUGUUGCUUGGCCCAUCUUUGUUUCCUUAGCACCACGACUCGUUUGCCUGGCCUCAUAGUCUGUCUCCCAAGAGUGCUCUUGAUGAGAUAUUUUUUUUUUAUCAGGAAAUUGAUUUUCUUGCAUCUCUUUCGGAGGUUGCUGAAUCCAAUCUUGGAGGAGAAUAAUUCAAUUCUUGGAAAAAUGUCUAAUAUGGGAGCCUAGUGUUUGAUUUUUUCUUUCCCCCCUGGCCACAGCAUCAAAGCUGUGUGAGCAUGCCAGGAGCCAAGGCAGAAUAGGUGCUUGCUGGCCCACCAGCUCCAUCCUUACCUUACCAGCCAGCCUCCGCCAGCAGUGCUCUUCUCACAGUGGGCUCUGAGCACCCUCUUUCCGCCCUGGAAGCAUCUUGCUCUAAUGCAGUUUUUCACUCUUGCUAGUUCUAAAUCUUAGCUAAAUUUUCUGUCUUACCCCUUAUACAUCCUGGAAAUUCCUCACUGUGCAGUCUGCUCUCACAAUGGUACAUUUUUUCCCUUCGGGUCAGAAUGGCCUAAGUUCACGAUUCUUACCUAGCAAUGAAAAGUGGUUUCGUGGCCUAAGAUCUGGGUUAAUAAAAGUUGGACUUCUGGGUCCAAGACAGGCACAGUUGGUUGCGCUCUGUAUCUUUCCAAAAGAGAUGCACUAAGCAGUUUUAUGUGUGUAAGGGUCUUUGCCAUACCUUUGAGAGGGGUGCUUAGUUUAUUUAUAUCUUACCUUGAUGUUUUAUUAAUGACUGAUAGUUGUUUAGUCUACAGUGUCAAUUGGGAAUUGGAAAUCAGUCUGUGUCUGAGGCUAGUUUGCUUAAGUCAAAGUCAGAACUGAUCCAGUGCGGCACAUGGAUACAGUUAUUAUAAACAAUUAUGGUAAGAAUGCCCAAUUUUCUGUAAUUAAAAUGCCCAGUGAAUUCAAUUCAUUGGAUUUCGCCUUGUGACCAUUGUGCUGUUUCUUUCUAUGUAAAGAAGUGUAUUCAAUUAAGUCUUGCAUAAUGUGCACUUUGUCAGUCCAAAAAAAAUUUACUUUCCAGUUGCUUGUGGUGUCGUUGGUAUUUAUUCUGCAACGUCAGCAGCGCUUAUGGGCCAAAUGCAGAGUGAGGACUGCAGUUGAAGCAACGUUUUUUUGUUGUUGUUGUUCACAUUCCAACAUUCUUAAGAUCCGCCUGAAAGGAAAUGUUGGAACAGUGUUCUGAAAGUACUUUUGAGAGCCAUGUAUUCCUGGAGAGCUUAAGAACCUAAUAGUUCGGUGGCGGGGGGGGUGGUGAAGCUAUGAGCAUUUGUCUCCCUCUCCUACUUUAAGUCUUGUCUCAAAACUGAAAAAGAAAAUUACAGAAAGAGUUGCUGUGUUGUUGCAGUGUCUAGCUUCUUCUUGAGGUAGGAAGGGAACAUCUCUCGUAAAUAAUGAGAUGGUUCUGUCUUGCACGGGGAAAAAACAAAACAAAACAACAACCAUCCAAUGUACUAUUUUGGCAAAAUGCCUCUGAGUCUCUUCCUGUGGAAUUUUUACUUCUGUACUUUGCAGAGACUUCAUUUUUUCCUUUCUUCUUACUGAAAGCUGAGGAAUAAGGUGGAAUGGGUGUACUGCUAAAAAUUUUAUUCUUUUCUUCUCAGCUAUGGCCAACCAGUUGACAAACACAGAGAUGGGAAGCAGAAAUCUCAGUAUUUGAGGAUAUUUACGUGUCUUAGUCUCUGCCCAGAGUGGAACAAAAUCUGAAACACUAAAUUCUCUUGUGCAACAUUUCCUUUGUCUCUGCUGCCUCCCUUUUGAAAGGAAUCAUUAAGACACUUUUAGCUUUAGCCUAGCCCUGGGCUGUUACUAGAGCUUGGGGAGCCAAGAGGAGCAGAAAGACAGCAGGGCUGGAAGGAGGGGACAUGGGGCCUGGGCUUGGGCUGGCAGUCACUCAGGCUUUGCCGGAAAGGCCUGUAUGCUCUGCAGCAGAUGUGCCCCCUAUAGAAGGAAAACAAAUAAGUGUAAUCUUUUAUAAGUAUGUUCUUAAAAAUUCUUUGUUACAUUUUUGCAUGUAUGAAAGUACCAAGUUGAGAACAUGUUUGAGAAAUCAUAGGUUAGAUAAAUAUAAAUUAUUUACCUUGUUUUUCUAAUUUCAGGAGGAGCCAGGAUUCCACAGUUUGAAGAAGACUUGCUCUUUCCUUUCCUGUGCUUCUCCUCUCUCUGAAUUGGCAGCUGAGUUGGCAAAAACAGUUUGGUCUUUUGCAAGGCCUAAUUUCACUAUGGAUCUACAGACCCAAACCCCCAAGAGAAUUAUUGGUAGAUCUUUGGGAGAGUAAGAAAGACCUACAAAUUGAAAGAACACACGUUGCACAGAUGAGAAGAGCUGCUAUAGCAGAGAGAUGGAGAUCUUUAAACACUGACUUAGCGAUUGUAUUCAAAAGCAGCUACUGGAGUUCCUGUCAUGGCUCAGUGGUUAACGAAUCUGAUUGGGAACCAUGAAGUUGCGGGUUCGAGUCCUGGCCUCACUCAGUGGGUUAAGGAUCUGGUGUUGCCGUGACCUGUGGUGUAGGUCGCAGACACGGCUUGGAUCCUGUGUUGCUGGGGCUCUGGCGUAGGCUGGCAGCUAUAGUUCCGAGUACACCCCUAGCCUGGGAACCUCCAUAUGCUGCAGCUACAGCCCUAGAAAAGACAAAAAAAAAAAAAAAAAAAA